RNAcentral lists this long non-coding RNA (587 nucleotides) under Ananas comosus (pineapple). RNAcentral describes it as "long non-coding RNA (ACOM_LNC019726)". The record is from RNAcentral. Lineage: Eukaryota; Viridiplantae; Streptophyta; Magnoliopsida; Poales; Bromeliaceae.
CAUAUGAAUGAUGUUACGUCCCGGAUUACACGUUUCUCCGGGAACGCCAACAGACCUGCCGUAUACAUAGAAAUUUUUCCUGUAUACGAAGCAAUAGUUAUACCUGUAAACAAAACCAAGCUACAACCACAAGAUAGAGAGCUGCUAAACUGAACUGAAAAAUAUAAAUAAACAUCAAGUUCACUCGACAUACAAAGUCCAAGAUAAAAACAUCUCUCGCUCCAACAAGUAAACCAACGUUAGUAUGUACAUGAACCAAAAUACUCCAAAACUACCUGUAUAUGGUACUCCUCUAGUACGGCAACUAGGGAAGGGAUCUAGCUCGUGACUCUAUUACCACGAUCAGAAUCAGCAACAACAGUAGUCGCAGAAGAAGGCUCUGCAAAAAGGGAUCAACAACUCGGUGUGAGAACUACUGCAAAAAGGAGUAGUCCUCAGUGGGCAACGCUACCGACCUCAACGGCUCACCCACUAAGUCUACAUAAAGUAUGCUCAAGGAUAGUAAAGGAAGCUGGUAAAACUCUACAGCUAUAUGCCACUAUACUAUCGCUAACCAACACUAACUAUUUGGAGAUAUAAGCAAGAUG